RNAcentral lists this ribosomal RNA (402 nucleotides) under uncultured bacterium. RNAcentral's name for it is "bacterial SSU rRNA". It matches the Rfam family "Bacterial small subunit ribosomal RNA", at positions 975 to 1375 of the family's 1533-position model. The record is from RNAcentral.
CAGGACUUGACAUCCCUGUGACCGGACCGUAACGGGACCUUUCCCUUCGGGGACACAGGAGACAGGUGGUGCAUGGUUGUCGUCAGCUCGUGUCGUGAGAUGUUGGGUUAAGUCCCGCAACGAGCGCAACCCUUGUCUUUAGUUGCCAGCAAGUAAAGUUGGGCACUCUAGAGAGACUGCCGGGGAUAACUCGGAGGAAGGUGGGGAUGACGUCAAAUCAUCAUGCCCCUUAUGUUCUGGGCUACACACGUGCUACAAUGGCUGGUACAACGGGAAGCGAAAGAGUAAUCUGGAGCAAAUCCUAAAAGCCAGUCUCAGUUCGGAUUGUGGGCUGCAACUCGCCCACAUGAAGUCGGAGUUGCUAGUAAUCGCGGAUCAGAAUGUCGCGGUGAAUGCGUUCCC